AUCUAGUGGUUUUUCUUACUCUUUCUCUCAACUCAGAAGUGUAAAAACUUGAUUUUUUUAAAUCGCUAAGCCUUCAAUUCAUUCAUGUCAGCUGAAGGUCUAACAGAUUUUUGUAUUUGGGGUGCCUUUCUGGUUCUUCCUGACUUUCUCCCUCCUUAUGUUUAUCCUCAUUGUGGAAGAUGGCCACAACUCCACCAUUUCGUGCAAAUUAGAGGUGGUGCUGGGGUCUCUGGCAAGUUCCCAAUAUGUGUCUCAGAUGACUUAAAUCCUUCCCAUGGGUACAUCGACACAUUAUUGAGCAAUUACAUUCUCUUGUGGCAGUCAUCUGUGGAAUAAGUAAACUCCCUCUAUUAGCCACACAAUGAUAUCAUGCACCAUAAAUGCAUGCUUGGCCUCCAUUGUGUCAACAAUCAGUUACAUUCUCAAAGGAAGAAAAGAAAAUCUAAUUCUAAAACUACAGUGACUAAUAAACAGGUUAGUUUUAUUACUUGUUUCAGCCCUGAAUGCCAACAUUACAUUUAACUCAAGAGACUCCCAUAAAAGUAGAAGGCAUACAGGUAAGCAUAAAAUUAUUAUUUAUUUGUUGUAAAUAUAACUUUUUGGGUUGGGGGUAGAAAGGGAGUCCGAGAGAGGAAAGUAACUCACGUUUUGAUCUUUUUUCUCCACUGACUAAAUGAAAGCUACUCAUAAUUUUCUCAUCAAUCACUUUUGCAAAGCUAUGACGUACAUUGCUGAUUGUGGAUCUGCUUGCACCAGCAGCAUAUUUAUACAACAAGAGGUAAAGUCACAUUUGAAAAUUAGAUCUCUGAUUACUCCGUAUGGUACAAUAAAUAUUGCAAUUGGUCUUCCCCUUUCCCCCUUUUAAUGACACUUACCUAAAUGUUUUGUAAAGCUUUGAAAGCUUCCAAGGGCAGAGUGUAUCUAAAAAGGUGACCUAAAUUUCUGGGUACCCUUUAAUAGCAUACACCAUCUAUCAUUACUCAUAUAGCCUGUGCUUGGUUGCUUUUUUCAGCCUUUCUGUGUGUUUGUGUGUCAUUCAGUGAUGUAGUUGAGGCUGAUCACUCACAGAUAUGGUACUUUAAUAUGGUAUUUUAAUUUGCUGCCCUGUGAAGCAGCAUCCACUAAUGCCUACAUAAUGUAAAGACUGGCUUCCUAUACACAUUCAAGACAGGAUGAGGCUAGGAAGCAAAAAAACACAGGAAGUGUUUUUGCAAGGGGGAGAAUCGGGAAGGGUUUAAAGCUUCAUGCUGUCCUCAGAUAAUGUAGUGGGUUGGGACCUGUGAAUGGGAGAAGUCCAACUCUCUUUUUUGCCUGGAACACCCUGACAAUGAAGGUGGACAGUGCUGGGGUGUCCUACACACAAGGCCAAUCAGGGGUUGUUUCCCAAGGGUCUUAAUGUUCUGGCUGGGGGCAGAGGACAGAUCCCAGUGUGCUUUUCAAGGUUUUAAAGUAUUAUUCAGUCUGGAUGAAUGACUACCCUUUGCUUUGUCAUCAGAGAAUAUUUAUGACCGUCGAAGCAAGGCUUAGUUCCUGGAGACGGGAUAACGCGUGGCUUUCUGCUGCCAGACAGAGAGUUCCUUUCGGUGGUCACACCAAUGUUUUUUCAUACUCCCACGGACACCGCAACUUUUUUGGAUAAGGAAGAAGAUGAUGGAACACAGAUGAGGGAAAGAAAUGGCCUCAGAGAACUUGGAUACAUGGGGGAUCCAGUUAUUAAGUUUUGGUCCAUUGUAAGUUAUGGAAUCUUGCUAUUAGGAACAAAUCUGGAUGAAGUGGUUUAUGGAACAGUAAACCCAGGUGUGUGUGUUUGUGAAAAUUAAAGAAAUUUCAAGGGGGAAAUAAUCACACUUAUUUUAAGUGUUGAUAAAUGUUAUAUGCACUGUAGACUUCCAUAUUAAUUUAUUCUUCUAUGCAAAUAUUUUCCAUGCUUGUUUCAUUUUUUCCCACAGCAUUUUUUAAGAGCUGUGGAAGCUGGAUUUGAUGGCUUCUAAACCACCACAAUUUCUUUUCACUUGGCAAGAACCUGAGGCACUCCACAUGUGAAUGUGAGGUACGGUGAGCCAUUCUGUGGUGGUCAGUGCCAGGAAACAGUGGCUGGCAGUACUUCUCUCCAGAUGUACCAUUUGGCACAUUAAGCAAGUCUUUUCUUAGAAGGGGAACCUAUGGUUUUGCCAUGUAAUGCAAAACACCAAUGGAAUCACUACAUAAGCAAAAUGCCAGUAAUGGUAUAGUGGUCCAGCCACAAACAUUGGUGCCAUUCAUAUGUACUGUGAAGCAGCCAUCAGUCUAAAGAGCAGGAGAAAACACUGAGGAAAGAAGGGCAAGCCAGGGUAGCAACCCAAAGAUGGUGAUUUAUACAGGCCCAGGAAGCACAUCAGCAGGAAUAUGAUUUGUUGGUUUUUCUUCUAUAUCCUCCCUGUAAUAAUUGGGUUUGCUGGAAGCUGAGAAGCAAUAUCUCAAGGAGGAUUGGUUUAUUCUUGCUAUGUUUCUCGUGCACCUACUGUAGCAUCUGCUGCUGCAUUCCGUCAGCAACAGGACAUUGACAUAGCCUGUUGUUUGACCUAACCUAGCAAGCUCUUAUAUUUAACCUAGCUAGCUCUUAUAUAGUAGUUUCCUAAGAUAGAAUCUGUUUUCUCACCCACUUUAUGUCAAAUAAUCAGAGAGCAUGUUCCCUUUUCUUACUACCUCUGCCCUCCUGCAAUUCUUCUGAUGCCAUUAGUCUUAUUUCUAGUUUAUAAGAGAACUACAGCCAUAUUCUCUCAUCAGCCAGCCAGAUACACGGAAUUCCAAGGAGUGCGUGGCCUGUUCUCCCAUGGCAAUCCUGCUUCUUGAUGUAUUAGACCAGUCCUAGUACAUGUGAGGUCCUGAGUUCCCCAGCUUCUUCUGCAAAUGACCCAGGGCAAAACAUGGCUGUGAAGGUUUACAGCUACCCUUGGAGUUGAAGUGGAGAGUCACCACCGUGUUGCUGAGAGCUCCACUAUGCUGCUAAGAGCAUGGAGGGGAAACAGGAUGCGUGUUCAAGGUAAACUACUUUUUACAAAGUUAAAUACAGCUAACUAUUUCAAAUAUUUAGGCUUUUCUCACUCCCAUUUUAUGUUGCAGAAAGUGAUCCCCUCCCAGCUGUAGGGUGCCUAGGGUGGAGGGAUUGAGGUAAACUAUGAGGUUACUAUGGAAAUGUUUCUUCUUUGAGGCAAAUAUGUUAAAUGCAGCUCAAGUUUGCAUUGGCAUGUGAAUGUAACUCAAAGCACUGGCACUUCUUUACUCACCAGUAUGCUAUGACUGAGAGUGCAUCCAUGAAAGAAAUGUUGAUUAGGCAAUCAGCCUGUGUAAGACUUUUCCCUGUGGCACAUCAUCUACUCUUUGUGUUUGCUAUAUUUUCAUAAGACUUAGGUAACUGAACUUACACAUUCUUCAUUCCAAAGUCCAUUUCAUUUUUUAAUUCUUUUCAGUUUGAGGUAGCUUUUAUGGCUGGCUGUCAUUCAAAUUGCAUGUUGAAGGCAUUUUUGAGGAAACUUGAAGUUCUAGAGUGUUAAUAAAGUGUUG
This is a long non-coding RNA of Neopsephotus bourkii (Bourke's parrot), 3543 nucleotides long. RefSeq lists it as uncharacterized. The record is from RefSeq and is a predicted model, not a curated record. The transcript has 5 exons. Lineage: Eukaryota; Metazoa; Chordata; Aves; Psittaciformes; Psittacidae.